UCUUAAAAAGUAUUGGCGGCAGCCUACACAUGCAAGUCGAGCGGCAGCACGGGUACUUGUACCUGGUGGCGAGCGGCGGACGGGUGAGUAAUGCCUAGGAAUCUGCCUGGUAGUGGGGGAUAACGCUCGGAAACGGACGCUAAUACCGCAUACGUCCUACGGGAGAAAGCAGGGGACCUUCGGGCCUUGCGCUAUCAGAUGAGCCUAGGUCGGAUUAGCUAGUUGGUGAGGUAAUGGCUCACCAAGGCGACGAUCCGUAACUGGUCUGAGAGGAUGAUCAGUCACACUGGAACUGAGACACGGUCCAGACUCCUACGGGAGGCAGCAGUGGGGAAUAUUGGACAAUGGGCGAAAGCCUGAUCCAGCCAUGCCGCGUGUGUGAAGAAGGUCUUCGGAUUGUAAAGCACUUUAAGUUGGGAGGAAGGGCAUUUACCUAAUACGUAAGUGUUUUGACGUUACCGACAGAAUAAGCACCGGCUAACUCUGUGCCAGCAGCCGCGGUAAUACAGAGGGUGCAAGCGUUAAUCGUAAUUACUGGGCGUAAAGCGUGCGUACGUGGUUUGU
Molecule: ribosomal RNA, 564 nt
Filed under: Pseudomonas sp.
Lineage: Bacteria; Pseudomonadati; Pseudomonadota; Gammaproteobacteria; Pseudomonadales; Pseudomonadaceae
Description: bacterial SSU rRNA
Rfam family: Bacterial small subunit ribosomal RNA
Source: RNAcentral